GACGAACGCUGGCGGCGUGCUUAACACAUGCAAGUCGAACGGAAAGGCCCUGCUUUUGUGGGGUGCUCGAGUGGCGAACGGGUGAGUAACACGUGAGUAACCUGCCCUUGACUUUGGGAUAACUUCAGGAAACUGGGGCUAAUACCGGAUAGGAGCUCCUGCUGCAUGGUGGGGGUUGGAAAGUCUCGGCGGUUGGGGAUGGACUGGCGGCUUAUCAGCUUGUUGGUGGGGUAGUGGCUUACCAAGGCGUUGACGGGUAGCCGGCCUGAGAGGGUGACCGGCGACAUUGGGACUGAGAUACGGCCCAGGCUCCUACGGGAGGCAGCAGUGGGGAAGAUUGCACAAUGGGCGGAAGCCUGAUGCAGCAGCGCCGCGUGCGGGAUGACGGCCUUCGGGUUGUAGACCGCUUUCGCCUGUAACGAAGCGUGAGUGACGGUAAUGGGUAAAGAAGCACCGGCUAACUACGUG
Molecule: ribosomal RNA, 468 nt
Filed under: uncultured bacterium
Lineage: Bacteria
Description: partial 16S ribosomal RNA
Rfam family: Bacterial small subunit ribosomal RNA
Source: RNAcentral